GAGUUUGAUCCUGGCUCAGAUUGAACGCUGGCGGCAGGCCUAACACAUGCAAGUCGAGCGGUAGAGAGAAGCUUGCUUCUCUUGAGAGCGGCGGACGGGUGAGUAAUGCCUAGGAAUCUGCCUGGUAGUGGGGGAUAACGCUCGGAAACGGACGCUAAUACCGCAUACGUCCUACGGGAGAAAGCAGGGGACCUUCGGGCCUUGCGCUAUCAGAUGAGCCUAGGUCGGAUUAGCUAGUUGGUGAGGUAAUGGCUCACCAAGGCGACGAUCCGUAACUGGUCUGAGAGGAUGAUCAGUCACACUGGAACUGAGACACGGUCCAGACUCCUACGGGAGGCAGCAGUGGGGAAUAUUGGACAAUGGGCGAAAGCCUGAUCCAGCCAUGCCGCGUGUGUGAAGAAGGUCUUCGGAUUGUAAAGCACUUUAAGUUGGGAGGAAGGGCAGUAAAUUAAUACUUUAGCUGUUUUGACGUUACGACAGAAUAAGCACCGGCUAACUCUGUGCCAGCA
RNAcentral lists this ribosomal RNA (509 nucleotides) under uncultured bacterium. RNAcentral describes it as "bacterial SSU rRNA". It matches the Rfam family "Bacterial small subunit ribosomal RNA", at positions 9 to 513 of the family's 1533-position model. The record is from RNAcentral.